Molecule: long non-coding RNA, 282 nt
Organism: Rhinopithecus roxellana (golden snub-nosed monkey)
Lineage: Eukaryota; Metazoa; Chordata; Mammalia; Primates; Cercopithecidae
Exons: 3
Source: RefSeq, a predicted model, not a curated record
GGUUGCUCUGUAAGAGAAGUCUGGUCUCAGGCCCUGUGAGGAUGCGUUCGCAGUGUGGACUUCAUCACACGUCUCGGGGGGAGAAGAGGCGGGCCAGAGAGUUUUUAACAGAUUUCUGGAAGCGUUGAAGGACCAGUUAAAACUAUGGAGAGGAAGCCAAAGCCCAAAAUGUGCAAUGUGGAGGUUGCCAUUGAGGAUGAUGCAGCAAGAAGGCCCUGACAAGAUACCAGCCCCUUGAUCCUGGACUUUCCAGUUUCUAGAACUGUAAGAAAUAAAUCUCUG